UGCAAACUUGAUCAGGUUUU
Molecule: microRNA, 20 nt
Filed under: Ciona intestinalis (vase tunicate)
Lineage: Eukaryota; Metazoa; Chordata; Ascidiacea; Phlebobranchia; Cionidae
Description: cin-miR-4178a-5p
Source: miRBase by way of RNAcentral